RNAcentral lists this long non-coding RNA (871 nucleotides) under Dromaius novaehollandiae (emu). RNAcentral's name for it is "lncRNA (ENSDNVG00000003703.1)". The record is from RNAcentral. Lineage: Eukaryota; Metazoa; Chordata; Aves; Casuariiformes; Dromaiidae.
CUCUGAUCAGUGGAGUAUGACAGAGGGUGAUUGAAGGCCAGUCUCCCAGGAAAUGAAGUUUGUUCACACACUCCAAGUAUGCUGGCCCUACUGCUGCCUGCCUCUGAUUUAUAGGACCAAAAAUUCCUUCCUCUGGAUUCUCACCUGAGACCUGACUUGAAAAGUGACUGGAGACCCACAGGAAGUGAAAUGGAGCACACAACCCCUCAAUCCAAUCAAAGCUAACCAAGAUAGUUUGAAUAAUUCACUGACAUUACUCAGCAAAUCAUUUCAAACAGAUGGGAGGGAAUGAUCAGCUGAUUGCAGACAACUGGUGAGCGGAGAAAGAGAGCAAGUUCUUGAACAAAGUAGUUCUCUGCAAAUAGCUGGGUUCAAGAAGAAAGGCUGAAAAAUGAAUCUGACCAUAAACAAAAAGUGGAACAGACUAGCUGACUUUCAUUGUCUCUGUUGAAGGAAGUACAAAGAACAAGAAACAAACAGCACUAGGUGGAGAAAGGUGAGUGUGAUUUUUAGUCUUGUCUGUUGUAAUUAUGGUGUUAAAUGUGCAAGAGUAAAGUGAAUGGAUGAGAUGGCAUAACUAGAAAGAAUUUGUGGAAGAGAGCUGAGCAGAAACAGGCUCUGUCAAAGCCAAAAAGGAUGCAUGCCAAUGUUGUUUCUCUUGGCAUAGGUCAAAAAGCAGACUGUGUGACAAGAGAGAAAUUGGAGAAGACUGAGAUAAUGCCCAAUUAGAUCAUCCAGUUCACCUCUCUGGGGCCUGUGACAGACUAGUAAGGAAUUUUUCUGCUGGGGAGGAAAAGAUGUUGACAGAAACAUGAAAAACCUUUUUUUCUCUUCCCUCCCCCCACAAACUCAAUUCAAAACAUAACCCCAA